GAUGAUUUUAUUGAAUAAAAAUUAGUAAUUACAAGGAAAAAUAGAAAUUAACAAUUUACUUCCACAAAUGCAAUAUCUCGAGUAUCAUGCUUGAGAUGGGAUGGGUCGAAUUGCCAAGGACUGGAGGAACCGUUUAUAUACGUGGCACUGUAUCUGCUGUAGCCUUAUAGGCGAGCUUCAAGAGAUAGCAACUGCCUUGAGAUGGUGGUGCACACUUGGGGACAUAGGCGAAGGCCCCCGUGCGAGCUGGAACAUUUUUCUCUGCGAUAAAAGGGCGCCAUCAGUUUGUCUUAUUGGUUCCCUGAAAAUGGGAGUCCUGUCCUUUUUGUUAGCGUAAACAUUUUUGUACAUCAGCAGCAAUUCAUCACUAACUGCAAUGGUUACCACCUCACAAUUAAAAUCUUUUUUAUUUUUUUGGUAGAUUCAUGAAAGCACAGGAGUGACAUUAACAAACUGGAUUGACGAGGGGCUGAAUUAACAAAACUGCAAAGGACAGAGGACAAACAGGGACGGUAUGCCAAGCUAUAAAAUGGAAAUUGAUCGUAAAACCAUUUUCAUAAUCUAAUCAAACAGUAUCAUUAAUUGGUCUAGUUACCAUGACUGACCAAAGCUGUCAUUCCACACGCCCUUACAUAUCCUUCAUAAAUGCCCAACAGUGUUUACACUAGCGAAAACUUUACCGGGAUAAAGAAGUACAUCUUUACAUCAACAAUCCAUGAGCCAUAAACAAAAAUGAUCCUUGUUUCAGAUUUGCCUAUGGCUUCGUGGAAGAGGAAUCCUUGUGCGCAGCUGUAUUAAUCUG
Molecule: long non-coding RNA, 802 nt
Organism: Populus euphratica (Euphrates poplar)
Lineage: Eukaryota; Viridiplantae; Streptophyta; Magnoliopsida; Malpighiales; Salicaceae
Exons: 2
Source: RefSeq, a predicted model, not a curated record